AGGUGCGAUCAUACCAGCACUAAUGCACCGGAUCCCAUUAGAACUCCGCAAAUAAGCGUGUUUGGGCGAGAGUUGUACUAUGAUGGAUGACCUCCUAGGAAUUCCUCGUGUUACACCUU
This is a non-coding RNA of Cicer arietinum (chickpea), 119 nucleotides long. NCBI's taxonomy places the organism in Eukaryota, Viridiplantae, Streptophyta, Magnoliopsida, Fabales, Fabaceae. The record is from Rfam.